CCUGGAGGAGGAAAUGGCAACUCACUCCAGUAUUCUUGCCUGAAAAUCCCAUGGAUAGAGGAACCUGGCAGACUACAUACAGUUCAUGGGGUCACAAAGAGUCUGACGUGACUGUGAGACUUAGCACGCCCGCCCAGGGUCCCUGUGCUCUUUCCUGUUCUAAUUGUCUAUUUCCCAAGCCCACAUCUUGGAGGAUCUUCAAAUAGCAAGUAUAAUUUUAAGCAUCUGAGUAUAGGAACCCUGGCUGUAGGUUUUGGAAUUCAGCACACUGAAUGUAGUUGGCACUUACAUUUGUUGAACAGAUGAAUGGAGCUCCCUGGAUCCCAUCCACUAUUCCAGAAGGACCAUUUCCAGGGCUCUUUUGCUCUAUUCUGGGCUUCCCUGGUGGCUCAGAUGGUAAAAAAUCUGCCUGCAACGCAGAAGACCCGGCUUCCAUCCCUGAGUUGGGAUGUCUCCUCCCCGGCACUUCGUCACACAUAUAUGAAGGCUGGGAAAGCCCAAGAUCAAGACGACAACUGAUCUGACAUGUGUGCGGCGGCGGCGGAAGGCGCGACGGCAGAGGAAAACUUCUCGCUGCGGUGAGCGCUCAACCAGACUGCGCUGCGCCGCGCCGAGCCGGGGCCGCCGCUCCGGCCGCGGGAGCCUGACGUCUCCCCACUUCGUAUUGAUUUGGAGGAACUUGAGUGAGAGAGAAUCGUGUUUAUAAUGAUAUGAACACCUCUUUUUCCCUUUGGAGGGGACUUAGGAUGUGACUAUAUAAAACAAAACCCACUUUUGUCAUGUGUGCGUGACAGCUCCAACUGAGAAUCUUGCAAACUUUAUACACAAAACAAAGCCAUCACUGAUGUUACUGCCAGGAUGCAGGAGCUACUGGCCAGAGAUCCCCACUAAGAACUCACUCCCACAUUUCCAGAUGAGUGCUACGAGAUGAGGUUCUUAAACUAAGACUCCUAAUUUGGUGCCCUGCUAAAAGGAAAAACCAAGGCAACCAAAAAUAGACAUACACUGACUCCUUAUACAGUUGAGAAUUUUGACAGAAUAACAUGCAGAGGAGUGGAGAAUUCAAGGUGGGUAGGAAGACUGGGGGAGAAGACGAUGGCACCCCACUCCAGUACUUUUGCCUGGAAAAUCCCAUGGACGGAGGAGCCUGAUAGGCUCCAGUCCAUGGGGUCGCUAAGAGUCUGGCAUGGCUGAGUGACUUAACUUUCACUUUUCCCUUUCAUGCAUUGGAGAAGGAAAUGGCAACCCACUCCAGUGUUCUUGCCUGGAGAAUCCCAGGGACAGAGGAGCCUAGUGGGCUGCUGUCUAUGGGGUCGCACAGAGUCGGACACGACUGCAGUGACUUAGCAGCAGCAGCAGGAAGACUGGGAUCACAAACGAAUGCAACACACCUUGGCAAAAAUAAAACCCAUCUAAAAAGAACAGGCCAAAUAAAAUUAAAAAGUAAAUAAUUAAAAUAAAAAGAACAGGCCUUGGGACUUCCCCGGUGCUCCAGUGGUUAAGAAUCCACCUUGCAACGCAGGGGUUUGAUCCCUGGUUGGGGAACUAAGAUCCUGUAAGACACAGAGCAAUUUAGCCCAUGUACCACAACUGCUGAGCCUGUGCACCACAAUGAAAGAUCCUGCAUGUAGAAACUAAGACCCAGCAUGGUCAAAUAAAUAAAAUAGAUUAAUUUAAAAAAGAACAGGCCUGGUUUGCCUUCUCUUGCUUAGUAGAAUACACAGUUCUGGUCAUAAGAACUCUCCCAUAGAUAGAUGAGAUAAAUGUGGAGAUUAUCCUGCAUAAUCUGGAUGGCUCAUUGUUACCACAAGGUACUUACAAGGGAAAGAAGAAAGCAGGAGAGUCAGAGA
This is a long non-coding RNA of Bos taurus (domestic cattle), 1850 nucleotides long. NCBI's taxonomy places the organism in Eukaryota, Metazoa, Chordata, Mammalia, Artiodactyla, Bovidae. The record is from Ensembl.